RNAcentral lists this non-coding RNA (84 nucleotides) under Firmicutes bacterium CAG:227. RNAcentral's name for it is "ZMP/ZTP riboswitch aptamer (pfl RNA motif)". It matches the Rfam family "ZMP/ZTP riboswitch aptamer (pfl RNA motif)". From Rfam's summary of the family: Previously known as pfl RNA. The record is from Rfam by way of RNAcentral. Lineage: Bacteria; Bacillati; Bacillota. RNAcentral also lists the same sequence under 1 other name.
AGCAGUUUUGAUUUCUGACGGGUCAGUGUGGAGAACCACAGUGAAAUUAAAACGAAGUAAGAGCCGACCGUCUGGGCAGCAUUU